GGUUGGCCUAUGUCAUAUGAAUUGCUAAGUGUUUUGACUCUAAUCCUAGAGGAAAGUAUUCAGUCUAAUUUGGACAGACGUCUUAGGCUGGUGUGGCCUCUAUAGCAAAAUACCACAGACUGGGUUGUUUAUAAACAGCAGAAAUUUCUAUCUGCAGUUCUGGAAGCUGGAUGUCCAAGAUCAGGGUGCCACCAAGGUUGAAUGGGUCAUGGACUUCUCAUUUUAUCCCACGUGGUGGAAUGGGCUGGGGAGCUCUGGGGCAACUUUAUUAAGAGGGCACUUAUCCAUCUGUGAGGGCUGUGCCCCCAACCCCCCAAUACCAUCACCUUGGGAAUUAGGGCUUUAGCACAUGAACUGGGGGGAGGCAGGCAAGAACAUUCAGACCAUAAUGACAGGGCCUAAGAACUCAGCAUUUAACUACUAUUCGGCUCACUUUAAUUUGGCAACAUCUUGGCCUUUAACCUAGAAAUAAUCUUCAGAAAUAAUUUUUCAAUUAUCCUGAUGUAUCAGCCAAGUACAAACGAAGCUCCUCUACAAAGACACCCCCAAAAUACAGUAGCUCAAAUGAGAAAGAAGUUUAAUUCUAUCUUCCACCAAAUCAACAAAAAUGAAGGUGAUCCAGUGUAGAGAGGCGGUUCUGCCACAGGAGAUCUUUAGGAACCAUGUCCCUGCUGCUCCCCAAUUCCCCUGAGUAUUGUCCUCAUCUGUAAGGUGGAGGCUUGUCACCAGCAUCACAUCCAUAUUUUUAUACUAAAAAACAAAAACUUUGACCAAGUAAUUUACACUUUUUUUUUCUUUGUCUUUUGUCUUUCUAGGGCUGCACCUGCAGCACAUGGAGGUUCCCAGGCUAGGGGGUCAAAAUGGAGCUGUAGCUGCCAGCCCAUCCCAGAGCCAUAGCAACGCCAGAUCCAAGUUGUAUCAGCGACCUACACCACAGCUCAUAGCAAAGCUGGAUCCUCAAUCCACUGAUCGAGGCCAGGGAUUGAAUCUACAACCUUAUGGUUCCUAGUCGGAUUCGUUUUCUCUGUGCCACAAUGGGAAUGCCUUUUGUUUUUGGGUUUUUUUUGGGUUUUUUGACAGUUUUUUUUUUUUUUUUUUAAUGGCUGCACCCACAGCAUAUGGAAGUUCCCAGGCCAGGAAUUGAAUCCGAGCCACUGCUGUGACCCAAGAUACAGCUGUGGCAACACCAGAUCCUUUAACCUACUGUGCCAGGCCAGGGGCUGAGCCCACGCCUCUGGCAGUGACAGAAGUCGCUGCGGUCAAAUUCUUAACCCACUGGGCCAUAGCGGGAACUCCUACACAUAUCACUUUUGUUUACAUAAAAUUCAGUGGGUCUUUUUGAUAUCUGAAGAAAUAAAUUCCCUUAAAUGAUGUGGAAGAGACAGUGUUAAGGGUUUGCCAAAUUCAACAUCAUUUUGUCUCUUUCUGACUGGACAGGAAGGCCACAUAUCUCAACUUCUCUUUCCCUUAGGUUGUGUUCAUAAGACUGGAUUCUGGUGUAUUGGUGGAAGUGAUGUGCUCCACUGGUCAUAAAACUCCUUGGAUGAUUGUCUAAGCUCUUACUUCCCUUACCAUGAAUGCCUGGGAGGCCUCAAGUUUAAGAUGCAAGCAUCAUAGAAUGGAAGGAGACUAGAUCCCUGAGUCAUCUUGUGGAGGAAAUCUACCAAGGAGAGUUGCCCGACAGCGCUGGACUGUGAUGUAAGUGAUUAAUAAAUCUUUAUUGUGUGUACUCCAUGAGAUCUAGGUACCUUACCCUGAUUAACUCAGAUGGUACAGAAAAGGGAUAUUUGUAUGGAAUAUAAGCCUAUAGUGAGUAGAUUUAAAGUUUGAAUGUAUUCAUACCCUAAUUUUUCCUAUUCCAAGAUUACCGAAUUCAUCAUAGAGUUUAGGUAGCUGAGCAGAAUGUUGUAGAGAAAAUAAUGUGAACUGUAGAACUCCACUGAAUUAGAUUCAAAUGCUGUCUCAGACAUUUAUUACCUUGACUUUAAAGUGUUUUCUUUCUGAAAUCCAAUACUUUCUAUCUACUAGCAUUAUUAAGUCAGCUAAAACCUAUUAGGUAACUCUCUUCCAUUCCUAUACCCUUCUAAUAUUCUAAUAUUUCCAAUCCAGUGUUUAAUUUCUGUGGUUCCCCAUUCUACACUCGAUCUUCGCCAAAAGGCUGAGAAGUGAUGGUUCUCCAUUCUAAACUGAUUUUCAUAAAUUUGACUUUAUAGUAGUACCAGACUAAAGGCUGGACAACAAAAGCAACAGUGGAGCCCAGAGAAAGUAGCCAUGUCCUUAAUUUGUGCCCAAAUAAAAGAAAAUCACUACAAAAUUUUAUGUGUUGAAAAUAGUGCUUAGUAGAGAACAAUUUUCCCUUUAUUUAGUACAUUAUUCAGGAAGUUCCCAAGUUAGAGAAAGACUAUGCUGUGCACUAUAGCACAAUUUUGAAAAUACUGUAUUUAAUUAAAAUGGGAAUUUCUGAAAUGAUUGCUAUAGAAUUUGUCUUUCCAAACCUGAAGUAAAAAUUUUGACCCAUGCAAUAUUUAUGAGUUAAUUUUCUUUUUUUCCCCAUCUCAUCUUAACAAUCUGACGAAUAGCCUCCAUUUCAAAUUAUUGAGGGUGGACCAUUGGCAGAAUAUGUACCAGCAAAGACAGAGAUAACUAGUAACAGCCUAAGUUUUCAAUCUGUUUACACACAUACAAAGCCACUUUGUAAACACUGACUUCAAAGGUACACCUGUGAGAGAUGCCUUUGUUACUUGCUGUUUAACAUUUUAAAAAAUUGUUUAGCAUUUAUAGCAUAUAUUUGGUGGCUUUUUAAAUUAAAAAAACAAACACAAGCUGACAUAUAACUUAUUAACACAAACAUGGCACAAUUUUUAUAUUAUACUCCCUUGGAAAAAGAGUUAAUAAUCGAACAGGCAUUACAUUGUGAGUUUACAGAAUUUGAUCCUACAUUGUGCAGCAAUGUCUUUAAAAGAUCAAUAUUGCAGCAAACUAAGCUCUCUGUGGCAUAGCUUCCCUUUUAUAAAAUGAGUAUUUCCUUUCAAUUUUCAGCCAUGUGUCCCUGAAAAUUGUUAGAGUAGCGAGGUACUCUCUUGGGCUUCUUUGCCUCUCUGAUCUUAGGUAAUGAUUUCUUCUUUUCUUUUUGGUCUCUUCUCUCCAUCCCAACCUCUAAUUUCUCUCAAAUCUCUAUCCCAAGACCUCUACUUCCUCACCAUCGCUCCCAUAACAUGGAAUUGCAUUUUUGCAUAGAGUUUGAUUCUAAAGUCAGUGAGUGGAUCUCCCGUUGUGGCUCAGUAGGCUAAGAACCCAACAUAGUGUCUGCGAGGAUUUGGGUUCAAUCCCUGACCUCCCUCAGUGAGUUAAGGACCUGGUGUUGCCCCAAGCUGUGGUGUAGGUUGCAGAUGUAGCUUGGAUCUGCUGUAGCUGUGGCUGUGGUGUAGGCCUCAGCUGCAGCUCUGAUUCGACCCCUGGCCUGGGAACUUCCAUAUGCUGCAGGUGCAGCCAUAAAAAGAAAAAUAAAAAAAUAGAAAACAAAGCCAGUGAACAAGGUUGAAAAAUCAUACCAAGUCAGAAAUACCCUAGAAAAAAAAUCUCUUCAUUCCCCUGGAAAGUACAAUAUACAUGGCCCUUUUUAUGCACACUUGAGGCUGCUACAGCAUCCAACUCAGCCAGUUUUUCCUCCAGCGUUGGAACAGAUUGCUGUUUUCUCAGUGAAACACCUGAUGAAGUAGUUGGCUUGCAUUUAGGGGCCAUGUUGUACCAAAAAAAUGUAUCUUUAAACACUUGAAUCACACUCAGUAUGGUGAGAUGCUCAUACUAUGAGAGCGAUUCAGGAACUGAGACAAACUGAAGGAACAUCAGAUUCACAUCUCCCGCCCUGCGCUCCUUUAGGGCAUAUGCUCCAGUGGAACGUGGGACAGAAUCACCCACACUGUUUACAUUCUUCUCUUUCUCUCUUUCUCUUUCUGGCAGAGUAAGUCGAGUUGAGUAUGGAGGAGAACUUUCUUCUAUAUGUAUUAGGGAAAAAUUCUAUUCAAAACCACAACUUUUUCUGAGAAGGGCAGCUUGUGGUAAAGGAAAUUUCAGGGUCUCUGUGGCUCUUGAGUGUCAUAAUGAGAAUCAGUGCCCCCAUCAGUUUAAUAGAGGGAACUGCCUUGUAGCUUGUGGUCAUACAAAGAUCAGGGAGCCUUGGAGUCUGGGAUGUGCAGGUUGGAGAGGGCGGACUUGCUCUGGGCAGUGGUUUUACAACCUUGGCUCUAUUGACAUUUCGGAUGGGACAGGUCUCUGUUGGAUGGUGGUUGGGGUUGGGAGGGGGGCUUUUCCGUGCCAUGUAGGAUGUUUAGCAGCAUCUCCAUCCUCAGCUCAUGAGGUGCCACUAGUAACCCCCAUCCCAAAGUUGGGAAAACCAGAAACAUCUCCAGACAUUGCCAAACCAGCCUUCAGGAAGCAAAAUCACUCUUGAUUGAAAAACUUGAUAUAAUAGAGUAGAAAGAGUUUGAGAUCUUGGGGGAAGUUUUUCAGUGGAACAAGUGAAAAGGAGACAUGGGGUCAGGGAGAAGCAAUUUUCUAGAUAGUGCAAGGCUGGACACUACAUAAGGUAAAAAGGCCUCUGAAAAACUCUUAAUCGUGGGAUGGCUUUUCUUAUUUUUUUCUUAUUAUUUUAUUUUUUACAGCCACACUUGUGGCAUCUGGAAGUCCCUGGGCUAGGGAUCCAAAAAGAACUGUAGCUGUUGGCCUAUACCCCAGCCAUAGUAACACUGGCUGGUCCCAAGCUUCAUCUUCAAACUUCACCACAGCUUAUGACCAUGCCGGCUCCUUAACCCACUGAGUGAGGCCAGGGAUUGAACCAACAUUUUUAUAGAGACAACACCGUGUUUUUAACCCACCGAGCCACAAAUGGAACUCCAUGGGACAGCUUUUUAAAAACAGAUAAAUGCAGUUCCCAUGGUGGCUCAGUGGUUAACGAACCCAACUGGUAACUAUGAGGUGGUGGGUUCAAUCCCUGGCCUUGCUCAGUGGGUUAAGGAUCCAGUGUUGCCGUGAGCUGUGGUGUAGGUCACAGACGUGACUUGGAUCCUGUGUUGUUGUGGCUGUGAUGUAGGCCAGGAGCUAUAGCUCUGACUGGACCCCUAGCCUGGGAACCUCCAUAUGCCACAGGUGUGGCCCUAAAAAAAAAGACAAAAAAAUAAAAAACAAAAAA
RNAcentral lists this long non-coding RNA (5188 nucleotides) under Sus scrofa (pig). Its description in RNAcentral is "lncRNA (ENSSSCG00050031467.1)". Lineage: Eukaryota; Metazoa; Chordata; Mammalia; Artiodactyla; Suidae. The record is from RNAcentral.